RNAcentral lists this ribosomal RNA (546 nucleotides) under Pseudorca crassidens (false killer whale). RNAcentral describes it as "partial 16S ribosomal RNA". It matches the Rfam family "Bacterial large subunit ribosomal RNA", at positions 1816 to 2597 of the family's 2925-position model. The record is from RNAcentral. Lineage: Eukaryota; Metazoa; Chordata; Mammalia; Artiodactyla; Delphinidae.
CACCUCUAGCAUAACUAGUAUUAGAGGCACUGCCUGCCCAGUGACAAUCGUUAAACGGCCGCGGUAUCUUGACCGUGCAAAGGUAGCAUAAUCACUUGUUCUCUAAAUAAGGACUUGUAUGAACGGCCACACGAGGGUUUUACUGUCUCUUACUCCUAAUCAGUGAAAUUGACCUCCCCGUGAAGAGGCGGGGAUAACACAAUAAGACGAGAAGACCCUAUGGAGCUUUAAUUAAUCAACUCAAAAAGCAUAAAAUAAUACCACCAAGGGAUAAUAGAGCUUUACAUGAGCUGACAAUUUCGGUUGGGGUGACCUCGGAGUAUAAAAAACCCUCCGAGUGAUCAAAACUUAGGCCUACUAGCCAAAGUAUAGUAUCACAUAUUGAUCCAAAAUUUUGAUCAACGGAACAAGUUACCCUAGGGAUAACAGCGCAAUCCUAUUCUAGAGUCCAUAUCGACAAUAGGGUUUACGACCUCGAUGUUGGAUCAGGACAUCCUAAUGGUGCAGCAGCUAUUAAGGGUUCGUUUGUUCAACGAUUAAAGUCCU